CCCUCUAUAUUGUCACUGUUAAACAUUUUAUUUUACAAAAUCUUAUAGCACUUUCCAAACAGUUACUCUAUUGAAAUGAUUUCAUCCCAGGUUGCCGAAUAGAAUGACCUAUUCAAUGUACUCCCGUAUAAUGCCAAAGUAAUCACGACCUUUUUCUACUGACAAACAGGCACCGCAGGCACUUAGGACUAAGCAACUUUGGUCCAAUUAUCAGAUUUAGAUCUAUAAACAGAUUCGUCAACGCUGACAGUUCAAGUUCAACUAAGAAAUAUUUAUAACGAUGGUCAAGGCUAUACACGAGACUUGCAAAGAUGCGUAAGGGAUCAGAGUUGACAGCACAAGAGCACGUUGAAGUAUUUCUUUAGGCACACGUUCAACUGCAGUUGGCGCAAAACUUGAACCUUGCUGGUCAUCAAACGAAACAAAGACAUUGUAAAGGGAGACUACUUAAAGUACACAGAUCAACAAUUUCUUCAUUUAGAAUUUGUUUAGUUAAUACCGUGCAGCAAUCUCUAGAUUAGAAACUGACAAGUUAAAAAUACACUUGUAUUAAUGAACUUGAAAACAGAUGUUGAUAGUGUUUUACAAAAACUGGAGUGGUUUUGGAAAAAAGAGAUGAAGUUUUAGCUAGGAAAACAAAAUUUAACUCCUAGAACUAUCAAAGCAUUUUACUUUCAUUCUGAAAUGGAAGCUAUCACUACGUGACAAUAAGAGGAUACAACUUUAUAUUACUAUAGCUAGCUACAAAAUAAACUUUGAAGUCACUUCUAUUUAGUCUUACAUAAUAUUAAUUACCAUUAACAAGUUCUUCAUCAUUUUAAACAUUAUUGUACAAUGGGGUAAAGUCAAUAUAAAUAUUUUUAAAAAUUAUUUUUAUUGU
This is a non-coding RNA of Biomphalaria pfeifferi, 880 nucleotides long. NCBI's taxonomy places the organism in Eukaryota, Metazoa, Mollusca, Gastropoda, Planorbidae. The record is from the annotation of a GenBank genome assembly.